UUAAAUCUGUCCGGCACAUUUUGCGGUCUGAGCAGGGUCACGUGGCCCUGCUCCGCACCGGGCACCCCCCCCCUUACAACCUUGUUUGAUUUCUGCGACUUCAAGGCAGAGCCUCCUGAGCUCAUCCAGGCGCCCCAGAGAUGGCUGAUUUCUUCUCACCUUGAUCUUGGAACUACAGGUGCGAGCCACGGCUCCUGGCCUAGCACAGUGGCUGAGCCCAGUGCUGGGAUGGAGGAUGGGGAAUGGGUGCUCCUGAACUGCUGAUUGGCUGAUCCCUAUCACCCACCAGAAGCUGCAGGGGAAAAUGACAAGGGCAGCAGAUACCAGUGCUCUCAGUCCAGGACCUUCUGGACUUCAAAAUGCUUUCAAGCACCCGCCUUCUCUGCAUCCCCAACAUGGAGCUGGCGAAUACAAAGCCAGGUCAGGAAUGGCCCUAGGACCCCCACCCCAGCCCCCCAGUUUGCAUUCAUUUGGUUCCUGAGCUAGGACACCCCUCCAGCUCCAGCAUCUGGCUGCUGCGAUGGGGGCCAGGGGCUUCCAGGCUGCUCUGUCCUUGCACAUCAAUUUUACCACCUGCCAGACGCCAGGAGAGGGCAUAUGAAAUAUAAAAUGAGUUGAGGCAUAAAAGUGUUUUGGAAUAAAAAUGAUGUGCACUGGCAAGGGAUUACAGUUAUUACAAGGACCAUGCGCUGACGCCAUCACUCACACCUAGGAGUGGGAGAGUGUGGUCGCCUGCCGACAGAGGCAGCAGCCAGCGUGCCUCCUCCUCUAGGGACAGGGCUGCAGGUGGAGUGAAGCCAGCCCUCAGGGAGUGUCCAGGGCUCUGGAGUGGUGGCUCACAAUGCAGGGCCGGCGCAGUAGCUGACGCCUGAAAUUCCAGCACUUUGGAAGGCCGAGGCGGGCGGAUCACCUGAGGUCAGGAGUUUGAGACCAGCCUGGCCAA
Long non-coding RNA from Sapajus apella (tufted capuchin), 943 nucleotides. RefSeq lists it as uncharacterized. The transcript is spliced from 5 exons. Lineage: Eukaryota; Metazoa; Chordata; Mammalia; Primates; Cebidae. The record is from RefSeq and is a predicted model, not a curated record.